Molecule: ribosomal RNA, 2902 nt
Filed under: Klebsiella variicola
Lineage: Bacteria; Pseudomonadati; Pseudomonadota; Gammaproteobacteria; Enterobacterales; Enterobacteriaceae
Description: bacterial LSU rRNA
Rfam family: Bacterial large subunit ribosomal RNA
Source: RNAcentral
UUAAGCGACUAAGCGUACACGGUGGAUGCCCUGGCAGUCAGAGGCGAUGAAGGACGUGCUAAUCUGCGAAAAGCGUCGGUAAGGUGAUAUGAACCGUUACAGCCGGCGAUGUCCGAAUGGGGAAACCCAGUGCAAUUCGUUGCACUAUCGUUAACUGAAUACAUAGGUUAACGAGGCGAACCGGGGGAACUGAAACAUCUAAGUACCCCGAGGAAAAGAAAUCAACCGAGAUUCCCCCAGUAGCGGCGAGCGAACGGGGAGCAGCCCAGAGUCUGAAUCAGCUUGUGUGUUAGUGGAACGGUCUGGAAAGUCCGACGGUACAGGGUGAUAGUCCCGUACACCAAAAUGCACAGGUUGUGAACUCGAAGAGUAGGGCGGGACACGUGGUAUCCUGUCUGAAUAUGGGGGGACCAUCCUCCAAGGCUAAAUACUCCUGACUGACCGAUAGUGAACCAGUACCGUGAGGGAAAGGCGAAAAGAACCCCGGCGAGGGGAGUGAAAAAGAACCUGAAACCGUGUACGUACAAGCAGUGGGAGCACCUUCGGGUGUGACUGCGUACCUUUUGUAUAAUGGGUCAGCGACUUAUAUUCUGUAGCAAGGUUAACCGUAUAGGGGAGCCGCAGGGAAACCGAGUCUUAACUGGGCGUUAAGUUGCAGGGUAUAGACCCGAAACCCGGUGAUCUAGCCAUGGGCAGGUUGAAGGUUGGGUAACACUAACUGGAGGACCGAACCGACUAAUGUUGAAAAAUUAGCGGAUGACUUGUGGCUGGGGGUGAAAGGCCAAUCAAACCGGGAGAUAGCUGGUUCUCCCCGAAAGCUAUUUAGGUAGCGCCUCGUGAAUUCAUCUUCGGGGGUAGAGCACUGUUUCGGCUAGGGGGUCAUCCCGACUUACCAACCCGAUGCAAACUACGAAUACCGAAGAAUGUUAUCACGGGAGACACACGGCGGGUGCUAACGUCCGUCGUGAAGAGGGAAACAACCCAGACCGCCAGCUAAGGUCCCAAAGUCAUGGUUAAGUGGGAAACGAUGUGGGAAGGCACAGACAGCCAGGAUGUUGGCUUAGAAGCAGCCAUCAUUUAAAGAAAGCGUAAUAGCUCACUGGUCGAGUCGGCCUGCGCGGAAGAUGUAACGGGGCUAAACCAUGCACCGAAGCUGCGGCAGCGACACUAUGUGUUGUUGGGUAGGGGAGCGUUCUGUAAGCCUGCGAAGGUGGCCUGUGAGGGUUGCUGGAGGUAUCAGAAGUGCGAAUGCUGACAUAAGUAACGAUAAAGCGGGUGAAAAGCCCGCUCGCCGGAAGACCAAGGGUUCCUGUCCAACGUUAAUCGGGGCAGGGUGAGUCGACCCCUAAGGCGAGGCCGAAAGGCGUAGUCGAUGGGAAACAGGUUAAUAUUCCUGUACUUGGUGUUACUGCGAAGGGGGGACGGAGAAGGCUAUGUUAGCCGGGCGACGGUUGUCCCGGUUUAAGCAUGUAGGCGGAGGUUCCAGGUAAAUCCGGUACCUUUUAACGCUGAGGUGUGAUGACGAGGCACUACGGUGCUGAAGUAACAAAUGCCCUGCUUCCAGGAAAAGCCUCUAAGCAUCAGGUAACAUUAAAUCGUACCCCAAACCGACACAGGUGGUCAGGUAGAGAAUACCAAGGCGCUUGAGAGAACUCGGGUGAAGGAACUAGGCAAAAUGGUGCCGUAACUUCGGGAGAAGGCACGCUGGUGUGUAGGUGAAGUCCCUGCGGAUGGAGCUGAGACCAGUCGAAGAUACCAGCUGGCUGCAACUGUUUAUUAAAAACACAGCACUGUGCAAACACGAAAGUGGACGUAUACGGUGUGACGCCUGCCCGGUGCCGGAAGGUUAAUUGAUGGGGUUAUCCGUAAGGAGAAGCUCUUGAUCGAAGCCCCGGUAAACGGCGGCCGUAACUAUAACGGUCCUAAGGUAGCGAAAUUCCUUGUCGGGUAAGUUCCGACCUGCACGAAUGGCGUAAUGAUGGCCAGGCUGUCUCCACCCGAGACUCAGUGAAAUUGAACUCGCUGUGAAGAUGCAGUGUACCCGCGGCAAGACGGAAAGACCCCGUGAACCUUUACUAUAGCUUGACACUGAACAUUGAGCCUUGAUGUGUAGGAUAGGUGGGAGGCUUUGAAGCGUGGACGCCAGUCUGCGUGGAGCCAACCUUGAAAUACCACCCUUUAAUGUUUGAUGUUCUAACGUUGGCCCGUAAUCCGGGUUGCGGACAGUGUCUGGUGGGUAGUUUGACUGGGGCGGUCUCCUCCCAAAGAGUAACGGAGGAGCACGAAGGUUAGCUAAUCCUGGUCGGACAUCAGGAGGUUAGUGCAAUGGCAUAAGCUAGCUUGACUGCGAGCGUGACGGCGCGAGCAGGUGCGAAAGCAGGUCAUAGUGAUCCGGUGGUUCUGAAUGGAAGGGCCAUCGCUCAACGGAUAAAAGGUACUCCGGGGAUAACAGGCUGAUACCGCCCAAGAGUUCAUAUCGACGGCGGUGUUUGGCACCUCGAUGUCGGCUCAUCACAUCCUGGGGCUGAAGUAGGUCCCAAGGGUAUGGCUGUUCGCCAUUUAAAGUGGUACGCGAGCUGGGUUUAGAACGUCGUGAGACAGUUCGGUCCCUAUCUGCCGUGGGCGCUGGAGAAUUGAGGGGGGCUGCUCCUAGUACGAGAGGACCGGAGUGGACGCAUCACUGGUGUUCGGGUUGUCAUGCCAAUGGCACUGCCCGGUAGCUAAAUGCGGAAGAGAUAAGUGCUGAAAGCAUCUAAGCACGAAACUUGCCCCGAGAUGAGUUCUCCCUGAGACUAUAAGUCUCCUGAAGGAACGUUGAAGACGACGACGUUGAUAGGCCGGGUGUGUAAGCGCAGCGAUGCGUUGAGCUAACCGGUACUAAUGAACCGUGAGGCUUAACCUU